GAUGAACGCUGGCGGCGUGCCUAAUACAUGCAAGUCGAGCGAACGGACGAGAAGCUUGCUUCUCUGAUGUUAGCGGCGGACGGGUGAGUAACACGUGGAUAACCUACCUAUAAGACUGGGAUAACUUCGGGAAACCGGAGCUAAUACCGGAUAAUAUUUUGAACCGCAUGGUUCAAAAGUAAAAGACGGUCUUGCUGUCACUUAUAGAUGGAUCCGCGCUGCAUUAGCUAGUUGGUAAGGUAACGGCUUACCAAGGCAACGAUGCAUAGCCGACCUGAGAGGGUGAUCGGCCACACUGGAACUGAGACACGGUCCAGACUCCUACGGGAGGCAGCAGUAGGGAAUCUUCCGCAAUGGGCGAAAGCCUGACGGAGCAACGCCGCGUGAGUGAUGAAGGUUUUCGGAUCGUAAAACUCUGUUAUUAGGGAAGAACAUAUGUGUAAGUAACUGUGCACAUCUUGACGGUACCUAAUCAGAAAGCCACGGCUAACUACGU
Molecule: ribosomal RNA, 496 nt
Filed under: uncultured bacterium
Lineage: Bacteria
Description: partial 16S ribosomal RNA
Rfam family: Bacterial small subunit ribosomal RNA
Source: RNAcentral